This 933-nucleotide small RNA is filed under the name Drosophila pseudoobscura pseudoobscura. RNAcentral's name for it is "GA31672". Lineage: Eukaryota; Metazoa; Arthropoda; Insecta; Diptera; Drosophilidae. The record is from RNAcentral.
CUGACGCUCUUUCAAGACAAAGCGUAUUGUGUUUGUUCCUUAAUUUGUUAGCCUCUCUUGUACACCAAGUCCAUUAACUUCGAUUGGGAAUUGGCAAAUUCCUACCUCGGCAUUUAAUUCGGAAACGGAAUGUAAUAGGUUAAAGCUCAACUGACAAAUAAUUUGACUAACAAGCAGCAAUGCCGCAUUGGGAGGAAGCAACUAAAUUGAAGAAGAAUAGGUCUGUAUACCAUGGACACACCUUAUUUGGUAGCAUUUGGCGGUGGUAGCCGCCCCCGCAAUCCAGGCUUCCAGACACCGAACAUACCCCUAUUUUGUACGCUUAACGGGUAUAAAAAUGAUCUAUUGUUGUGCUGGGGAGAAGGAGCUGCUGGUGCUCCUGCUCCUGCUGCUAUCUCUGCUGAAUAAAUGGAACGAAAAGAGGCUGCGGACCAAGAGCUACGGAGGACUCCCGGCCCGACUCUUGCGAGCGUAACUUGCGGCGGCUGCCCCGAAAAGUUAAGUGAAUUGUGCAAAGUUUCUCGCUUGCUGCAAAUUUGUUCGAGGCACAGAAAAAAGUUGCAAAAAGAGGAGAGGGGCCCAGCUCAUGCUCCUGCUCGUAUGCCCAUCCAUGACCAGCCAAAAGGUAAAUAUGCCGAAGCAGCAAAAGCAACAAUGCCGAUACAAUGGGCCCCUGAAAUGUGCUCCCAGAUGCAAAAAUGGUUUCUGUGGUUUCAAUGGCAACGCGACGCGACGCUACUCGACUCGGCUCGACUCGACUCCGUUCCAAGGAGGAACGGAGGAGAACUCUGUUCCGACACGGGGUGAACCGCUAACGCUGUGAAAUUUAACGUCCUGAACUUUUAUGGUGUUGUGCCCGGCCGGGCUGCCACCAGGUGGUGCACACACCUGUGCCACCAGUUGCAUUGACACAAGCCCCAUAAAAUGAAAAGU